RNAcentral lists this ribosomal RNA (460 nucleotides) under uncultured bacterium. RNAcentral's name for it is "partial 16S ribosomal RNA". It matches the Rfam family "Bacterial small subunit ribosomal RNA", at positions 338 to 795 of the family's 1533-position model. The record is from RNAcentral.
CCUACGGGUGACAGCAGUGAGGACUAUUGGUCAAUGGACGGGAGUCUGAACCAUCCAAGUCGCGUGAAGGAUGACUGCCCUAUGGGUUGUCAACUUCUUUUAUAAAUGGAUAAAACGAAGCACGUGUGCCCUUUUGAAUGUACUUUAUGAAUAAGGAUCGGCUAACUCCGUGCCAGCAGCCGCGGUAAUACGGAGGAUCCGAGCGUUAUCCGGAUUUAUUGGGUUUAAAGGGUGCGUAGAUGGGUUGUUAAGUCAGGUGUGAAAGGUUGCGGCUUAACCGUAAAAUUGCAAGUGAUACUGGCAGUCUAGAGUAUAGUUGCGGUAGGCGGAAUGCGUGGUGUAGCGGUGAAAUGCUUAGAUAUCACGAAGAACCCCGAUUGCGAAGGCAGCUUACUAAACUGUAACUGACAUUGAGGCACGAAAGCGUGGGUAUCAAACAGGAUUAGAGACCCGGGUAGUC